GGGGACGUAGCUCAGUUGGGAGAGCAUCUGCCUUGCAAGCAGGAGGUCGAGAGUUCAAGUCUCUUCGUCUCCACCA
Molecule: transfer RNA, 76 nt
Filed under: Thermoanaerobacteraceae bacterium
Lineage: Bacteria; Bacillati; Bacillota; Clostridia; Thermoanaerobacterales; Thermoanaerobacteraceae
Description: tRNA-Ala
Rfam family: tRNA
About the family: Transfer RNA (tRNA) molecules are approximately 80 nucleotides in length. Their secondary structure includes four short double-helical elements and three loops (D, anti-codon, and T loops).
Source: RNAcentral